GUCGAGAAUAAUUCACAAUGGGGGCAACCCUGAUGGAGCGACGCCGCGUGGAGGAUAAGGUCUUCGGAUUGUAAACUCCUGUCAUGCGUGAACAAGGUUGCUUGGUUAAUACCUGGGCAAAUUGAUGGUAACGCAAGAGGAAGAGACGGCUAACUCUGUGCCAGCAGCCGCGGUAAUACAGAGGUCUCAAGCGUUGUUCGGAAUCACUGGGCGUAAAGGGUGCGUAGGUGGCGUGGUAAGUCAGAUGUGAAAGCCCGGGGCUCAACCACGGAACUGCAUCCGAUACUGCCAUGCUAGAGUACUGGAGAGGUGACUAGAAUUCUCGGUGUAGCAGUGAAAUGCGUAGAUAUCGAGAGGAAUACCAAAGGCGUAGGCAGGUCACUGGACAGUUACUGACACUGAGGCACGAAGGCCAGGGGAGCGAACGGGAUUAGAAACCCGAGUAGUCC
This 449-nucleotide ribosomal RNA is filed under the name uncultured bacterium. RNAcentral describes it as "partial 16S ribosomal RNA". It matches the Rfam family "Bacterial small subunit ribosomal RNA", at positions 354 to 796 of the family's 1533-position model. The record is from RNAcentral.